GCGGCAGGAUUGAGGAAGUUGUGUGAGCCUGGGGUUGGAAGCCAGGAGAUGCUGCUGUAGUCACCCUGCAGAAGCCAACUCUUCUGGAAGUGACCAGAACCCUGAGCCGCCUGGACUCUGAAACCCAAAAGUGAUGCCCGUUGUGGUAUAGAAGGGACUGCGGAGGCCAUCUAAAGGACAGAAGGAAUAAACCAAGGAUGAAGACGCUGAACAGCUUUCCUAAGGUCACUCAGCCAGUGGUAACUGGAGCAGGAACCAGAGCCUUGGGCUGGGGAGAGAAGAGAGGAAACAGCGAGUAGCCAUCUUCCUCCCUGCCACUGGGUCCCCUCCUGUUUGCUGUUUCCUGCAAGGCCUCCUCACAGAGUAAGGACACCUGAACUCCUCUUACAGCUGAAGAUCUCACAUCAGUGCUCCAGCCUGCAACCCCUCCCUCCCCCCCCCCCCAGGAGCUGAGCUUAAACCCCACAACUUCCCGUUCUACCUGGCUCUGCCCAUCCCAUCAGAGGCACAUGAGUUACUCUCUGACUCAACCUUUUUCAAGUUGUUUCCUGUCACUCCCUCUCCUUAUAUCGGCCCCCAGACUCUCAUUUUCCAUGGUCCUGUGCUGUCAGCUUCUCUAGCAGAGUCCCUGGGGGCAUGUUGUAUAUGAAAUUAUUUUGUGAAAUCCAAUAAAAAUUUUAAUCAGGUCAACAUCA
This is a long non-coding RNA of Apodemus sylvaticus (European woodmouse), 695 nucleotides long. RefSeq lists it as uncharacterized. Lineage: Eukaryota; Metazoa; Chordata; Mammalia; Rodentia; Muridae. The transcript has 3 exons. The record is from RefSeq and is a predicted model, not a curated record.